RNAcentral lists this ribosomal RNA (255 nucleotides) under uncultured bacterium. RNAcentral describes it as "partial 16S ribosomal RNA". It matches the Rfam family "Bacterial small subunit ribosomal RNA", at positions 524 to 776 of the family's 1533-position model. The record is from RNAcentral.
UACGUAGGGUGCAAGCGUUAAUCGGAAUUACUGGGCGUAAAGCGUGCGCAGGCGGUUUUGUAAGUCUGAUGUGAAAUCCCCGGGCUCAACCUGGGAAUUGCAUUGGAGACUGCAAGGCUAGAAUCUGGCAGAGGGGGGGUAGAAUUCCACGUGUAGCAGUGAAAUGCGUAGAUAUGUGGAGGAACACCGAUGGCGAAGGCAGCCCCCCUGGGUCAAGAUUGACGCUCAUGCACGAAAGCGUGGGGAGCAAACAGG